UCUGGGUGAUAUUUUGUCCAACGCUCGGUGUUUGCUGCUUUAGUUGCAAUGUCCACCAAUUUCGAAAUUGUACAGCUGAAUAUAGAAAUCCUGGUACCACUCACCACCGAGGACAUUUUUGUUUCUCAUGACUUUUCAUUUGUGAUUUGAUAUUAUUUGUAAGUGUACAGAGAAUUAUUCAGUGGCGGACACUGAAAUGGGAUUAAAGAGCAGUUGCUCAGAAAAAAGAUAACCCCAUGGGCCCAAAGAGCAUUAGCUGGG
This 261-nucleotide long non-coding RNA is filed under the name Nicotiana benthamiana. RNAcentral describes it as "long non-coding RNA (NBEN_LNC021317)". The record is from RNAcentral. Lineage: Eukaryota; Viridiplantae; Streptophyta; Magnoliopsida; Solanales; Solanaceae.